RNAcentral lists this non-coding RNA (65 nucleotides) under uncultured Desulfovibrio sp. The record is from RNAcentral. Lineage: Bacteria; Pseudomonadati; Thermodesulfobacteriota; Desulfovibrionia; Desulfovibrionales; Desulfovibrionaceae.
AAGCGAAACGCCCCGUCCUGGGGCGUCGUCGUGGCGUGGCGGCCACGGCCUGACGAGCAGCCAAA